Molecule: transfer RNA, 69 nt
Filed under: Muntiacus muntjak (muntjak)
Lineage: Eukaryota; Metazoa; Chordata; Mammalia; Artiodactyla; Cervidae
Also listed under: 1 other name
Description: tRNA-Val
Source: RNAcentral
CAAGAUAUAGCUUAAAUAAAGCACCUAGGUUUACACCUAGAAGAUUUCACUACACCACGAAUAUCUUGA